GAUGAACGCUGGCGGCGUGCCUUCACAUGCAAGUCGAACGAACCUUCGGGUUAGUGGCGGACGGGUGAGUAACGCGUGAGAAUCUGCCCUCAGGAGGGGGACAACAGCUGGAAACGGCUGCUAAUACCCCAUAUGCCGCGAGGUGAAAUGAAUUUCGCCUGAGGAUGAGCUCGCGUCUGAUUAGCUAGUUGGUGUAGGUAAUGGCUCACCAAGGCAUCGAUCAGUAGCUGGUCUGAGAGGAUGAUCAGCCACACUGGGACUGAGACACGGCCCAGACUCCUACGGGAGGCAGCAGUGGGGAAUUUUCCGCAAUGGGCGAAAGCCUGACGGAGCAACGCCGCGUGAGGGAUGAAGGCCUCUGGGCUGUAAACCUCUUUUAUCAAGGAAGAGGAUCUGACGGUACUUGAUGAAUAAGCCACGGCUAAUUCCGUG
Molecule: ribosomal RNA, 432 nt
Filed under: uncultured bacterium
Lineage: Bacteria
Description: bacterial SSU rRNA
Rfam family: Bacterial small subunit ribosomal RNA
Source: RNAcentral